Molecule: ribosomal RNA, 245 nt
Filed under: uncultured Massilia sp.
Lineage: Bacteria; Pseudomonadati; Pseudomonadota; Betaproteobacteria; Burkholderiales; Oxalobacteraceae
Description: partial 16S ribosomal RNA
Rfam family: Bacterial small subunit ribosomal RNA
Source: RNAcentral
UACGUAGGGUGCAAGCGUUAAUCGGAAUUACUGGGCGUAAAGCGUGCGCAGGCGGUUUUGUAAGUCUGACGUGAAAUCCCCGAGCUUAACUUGGGAAUUGCGUUGGAGACUGCAAGGCUGGAGUCUGGCAGAGGGGGGUAGAAUUCCACGUGUAGCAGUGAAAUGCGUAGAGAUGUGGAGGAACACCGAUGGCGAAGGCAGCCCCCUGGGUCAAGACUGACGCUCAUGCACGAAAGCGUGGGGAG